AGAGAUGUGGUUCUGUGGUAGGGUACUUGCCUAGCAUGCAUGAGUCCCUGGGUUCAAUCCCCAGGAUCACCA
Molecule: transfer RNA, 72 nt
Filed under: Ictidomys tridecemlineatus (thirteen-lined ground squirrel)
Lineage: Eukaryota; Metazoa; Chordata; Mammalia; Rodentia; Sciuridae
Description: Spermophilus tridecemlineatus (thirteen-lined ground squirrel) tRNA
Rfam family: tRNA
About the family: Transfer RNA (tRNA) molecules are approximately 80 nucleotides in length. Their secondary structure includes four short double-helical elements and three loops (D, anti-codon, and T loops).
Source: Rfam by way of RNAcentral